Non-coding RNA from Obba rivulosa, 102 nucleotides. The record is from the annotation of a GenBank genome assembly. NCBI's taxonomy places the organism in Eukaryota, Fungi, Basidiomycota, Agaricomycetes, Polyporales, Gelatoporiaceae.
GGCACUAUGGCCGAGUGGUUAAGGCGACAGAUUCGAAUGAGUGGAUGCUCUGUCACAAUCUGUUUCCCUAUGGGAGCGUGAGUUCAAAUCUCACUGGUGUCG